CAGCAGCCGCGGGAAUACGAAGGGGGCUAGCGUUGUUUGGAUUUACUGGGCGUAAAGCGCACGUAGGCGGACUUUUAAGUCAGGGGUGAAAUCCCGGGGCUCAACCCCGGAACUGCCUUUGAUACUGGAAGUCUUGAGUAUGGUAGAGGUGAGUGGAAUUCCGAGUGUAGAGGUGAAAUUCGUAGAUAUUCGGAGGAACACCAGUGGCGAAGGCGGCUCACUGGACCAUUACUGACGCUGAGGUGCGAAAGCGUGGGGAGCAAACAGGAUUAGAUACCCCGGUAGUCCCUGUCUCUUAUAC
RNAcentral lists this ribosomal RNA (301 nucleotides) under uncultured bacterium. RNAcentral's name for it is "partial 16S ribosomal RNA". It matches the Rfam family "Bacterial small subunit ribosomal RNA", at positions 509 to 807 of the family's 1533-position model. The record is from RNAcentral.